UACGUAGGGGGCAAGCGUUAUCCGGAUUUACUGGGUGUAAAGGGAGCGUAGACGGCGCUGCAAGUCCGGAGUGAAAGCCCAUGGCUUAACCAUGGUACUGCUCUGGAAACUGUGGAGCUUGAGUGCGGGAGGGGCAGGCGGAAUUCCUAGUGUAGCGGUGAAAUGCGUAGAUAUCAGGAGGAACAUCGGUGGCGUAAGCGCUUUACUGGGCCGUAAUUGACGCUGAGGAACGAAAGCCAGGGUAGCAAAUGGG
RNAcentral lists this ribosomal RNA (253 nucleotides) under uncultured Eubacteriales bacterium. RNAcentral describes it as "uncultured Clostridiales bacterium partial 16S ribosomal RNA". It matches the Rfam family "Bacterial small subunit ribosomal RNA", at positions 524 to 776 of the family's 1533-position model. Lineage: Bacteria; Bacillati; Bacillota; Clostridia; Eubacteriales. The record is from RNAcentral.